Vicugna pacos (alpaca) is the source of this 1349-nucleotide non-coding RNA. NCBI's taxonomy places the organism in Eukaryota, Metazoa, Chordata, Mammalia, Artiodactyla, Camelidae. The record is from RefSeq and is a predicted model, not a curated record.
GAGUAGUAGGUCUGUGCUUCCCUUGUCUGGAGGCACCGCCUCUGUGUCAGAACAAUGAGCAAGAUAACACCUUUAAACUUAUUUUAGCUUUUUUUCUACCCUGAGGUUUUUUUUUUCAUUGUUAGGAAACAUGUAACUUGUUUGAUGUUGCCUCUUCUGUAACAUAGGCUUUAUGUAGGCUUUUCAUGUAAUCAUAAAAUAAUGUCCUGAAGGUAAAAAGGAAAGGCAGUAAUGCUUUUCUUUUGGGGCGGGCGAAUCCUCCAGGCAUAGCCCUUUUGUGCCUGCAGCUGUACCGGGUCGCCUGUGACCAGACCUGUCUGCUGCGAUCCCUGGACCACGGAAGAGAACACUUUGGAAUCUGCACAGCUGGAGCUGCACUUUCCUCUGUGGAGAUGCUGGGCCCUUUGCCUUCCGAGCUGUGCUCCAGAGAACCAUCGUCUGCCGGGAUUCAGACCUUCCCGGCGAGCUGCUCUAUGGACAGGCGGGUUACCUGUACGCCUUACUCCACGUGAACUUGGAGAUGGGUCCCGGCGCCCUGUGUGAGUCAGCUGUCAGAGAGGCAGUCGCUGCUGUUGUUAAAUCAGGCAAGACUUCAUCGAGGGAAGAAAAGAAGGCUGAGCGCCGUCCCCUGUUGUAUCAGUGGCGCAGGAAGCAGUAUGCUGGCGCGGCCCAUGACGUGGCUGGAAGGUACUGCAUGUUAAUACCGGUGAGUGGCUAGCGCAGUGACCGCAUUAUGACAGAUCCCCGCUGGGACAGGAGAUGGGAACUGAAGUUUUACUACAAACCAAGCAGGUCAAAAUGAAACGAGGAUCCUACUUUGAGUCCUGGCUCCCUGAGCGCUGCUUCAUCCCCAAGCAGUGACCUCCUGAGAGCACAUUCUGUGUGCAGGCUUGUGCUCGAUUGGGUGUCUGCUGCCCAACCUUAUUCUGUCCACGUCCUCCUGCUCUGAUAAUAGGGGAGAACCUUUGCGGGGCUGAAAGGGCUUCCAGAAUCCACACCAGGGCAGAGACUGUUUCCUAUUCAGAUACCUCCAACUUACCAUCAGUUGUGUUCAAAAUGUUUACCCAGUUUAUUGUUGUAGUUAAGAUCUUGUCUCUGUAGUGAGUUAAGUACUGACUCUUCCGUCACAUAGUCAGAGACCUCUCCCCAAACAUUGCUGCAGCCUGCUUGCAGCCUUACGGCCUGUGGGUCCCGUGGCCUCCUUCUCUGCUCUGUGUGUGGCCUACAGGCAGACCUUGGGGACAUCGUGGGUUCAGUUCUAGAUUGCCGCGGUAAAGCAGCUACUGCAGGGAAGCUGGUCACAGGAAUGCUUUGGUUUCCCAGUGCAUAUAAAGAUUAUGUUUACAUGA